UACGUAGGGCGCAAGCGUUGUCCGGAAUUAUUGGGCGUAAAGAGCUCGUAGGCGGUCUGUCGCGUCGGCUGUGAAAUCCCGGAGCUCAACUCCGGGUCUGCAGUCGAUACGGGCAAACUGGAGUACUGCAGGGGAGACUGGAAUUCCUGGUGUAGCAGUGAAAUGCGCAGAUAUCAGGAAGAACACCCGUGGCGAAGGCGGCUCUCUGGGACGGUACUGACGCUGAGACGCGAAAGCGUGGGGAGCGAACAGG
This 253-nucleotide ribosomal RNA is filed under the name uncultured bacterium. Its description in RNAcentral is "partial 16S ribosomal RNA". It matches the Rfam family "Bacterial small subunit ribosomal RNA", at positions 524 to 776 of the family's 1533-position model. The record is from RNAcentral.